CUGAAGAGGCGUAUAUUACAAACGCCCCCUUUGAAAUCUUAAAAUCUCUCAGAGAGCACACACUUGCCGGAGUUGGAACUAAGGUGAAGCUUAAAGUGCAAUUCGUCUUCCUCAUUCUUCCACUAAGCAGAUGGAGAAACCCGAGAGGCUGUAGAUUUGCUUACCAGCUCAGGACAUUAAGAGCAGUUCAUCCCAGUUAUAUUGUUUUUCUGGAUUUAUGGUAUUGCUUGGGUGAGCAUUUCCUGGUGGUUGAAUCGGAUCUGAAAUGUUUACUUGCUGACACGGUUAUCUUCGAGGCAUAUCUGAAAGUGUCACCAUGCCUCGUAAGGUAAAUUAUGGAGUUGAUUAUGAAGAAGACUUUUAUGACUAUGAAGAUUACAAUAAUGACUAUGACGAUGGAUAUGAAUAUGCAGAGAAAAAUGGAAGGGCACCAGAAACAAAUACAAAGCAGGAAUUGGUCAAGGUUGGCAUCUGGCGUUGUUCCAUUUGCACAUUUGAUAACAGAGCUAGUAUGAACGUGUGUGAUGUAUGUGGAAAUCCCAAACAAGAACCAGUUAAGGCUGGGGUGUGGUGUUGUCCCAUUUGCACAUUUGAUAAUGAAGAUACCACAAAUUUAUGUGAUAUGUGUGGGGUCCUGCGUAACCCAUUGAUCAAAGGUUGUGGUGGUGGUGGUGGCAAAGCUAGCGCAGCUACUAGCAACAAAGUCGUACAGUCAAAUGUCCUAUCAAGUAAAAAGGAAAUAGCUGGUGAAGUUAAAAAAAAAUUGGUUUCUGAAGAGCCUACUAGUUCUUCCACAUCAACGGCGAAGGUUAGACGUGAUGACAUGAAGGAUAGAGGUUCUUCUAUAGAAACUAGAGGAAAUCAUGACGGCAUGAGCAAUGUGAGCAAUAUGUCUGUAUCAUCAAAUCCUCACAAUGUGGAGAGUAGAAUUGCAACUUCAAGAUCACAGAGUAAACCUCAGAAAAUUGUAUGCACUGGUCAAUUAGAAGACAAAUUGAACCAGCUAAAUCUUGCAAUUGUUGGCCAUGUUGAUUCUGGGAAGUCAACACUAUCAGGAAGACUACUACACCUUUUGGGGCAGAUAUCUCAGAAGGAAAUGCACAAAUAUGAAAAAGAGGCCAAGCAGCAAGGAAAAGGGUCCUUUGCUUAUGCCUGGGCAUUGGAUGAGAGUGCUGAGGAAAGAGAGAGGGGAAUAACUAUGACAGUGGCUGUUGCCUACUUUAACACAAAAAGUUACCGUGUUGUACUGCUUGAUUCCCCAGGCCAUAGAGACUUUGUCCCAAAUAUGAUAUCAGGUGCAACACAAGCAGAUGCUGCAAUUCUCGUAGUUGAUGCUUCAAUAGGUGCAUUUGAAGCUGGCAUUGAUGUUAGUGGAGGUCAGACAAGGGAGCAUGCACAACUUAUCAAAAGCUUUGGGGUGGACCAGAUAAUAAUUGCUAUUAACAAAAUGGAUGCUGUGGGAUACUCCAAAGAACGGUUUGAUACAAUUAAGAAUCAACUAGGAACAUUUCUUCGUGCUUGUAAGUUUAAAGAUUCAUCAGUAUUGUGGAUUCCCCUGAGUGCCAUGCAAAACCAAAAUUUGGUGACAAGUCCUUCUGAUGCAAGAUUGUUGUCCUGGUUUCAAGGUCCAUGCCUUUUAGACGCCAUAGACUCUCUCCAACCUCCCCAAAGAGAUUACUCAAAGCCUAUAUUAAUGCCGAUAUGUGAUCUCGUUAAAUUACCCUCACAAGGACAGGUGUCAGUAUGUGGAAAGUUGGAGACAGGAGCUCUUCAAACUGGAGAUAAGGUUCUAGUUAUGCCAUCAAGAGAAAUGGCAACAGUGCGUUCUUUGGAACAUAAUUCUCAGGUCUGUAACAGUGCAAAAGCCGGAGACAAUGUCACUGUUAAUCUACAAGGUAUAGAUGUGAAUCGUGUAAAGGCAGGGGAUGUGCUGUGCCACCCUGAAUAUCCUAUUGCUGUUACAAAUCAUUUGGAACUGAAGAUUCUUCUCCUGGAUAUUGCUGUUCCAAUUUUAAUUGGCUCUCAGUUGGAAUUUCAUGUACACCAUGUUAAGGAGGCUGCAAGAGUAGUGAGGAUUUUGUCCUUGCUUGAUCCAAAGACUGGAAAGGAGACCAAGAAAUCACCUAGAUGUCUUCUAGCAAAGCAGAAUGCUAUAAUUGAGGUAGUUUUGCAAGGGAUGAUUUGCGUUGAAGAGCAUUCUAAAUGUAAGGGUCUUGGAAGGGUGUCCCUCAGAGCAUCAGGAAGAACCAUCGCUCUUGGUCUUGUGACUCGAGUUCUAGAGAAGAAGGAAUAGAGAAAUUGCCACUGCUGGAAUGAGAUUUGACAUGCCCAGAAUCAGCUGGUAGAGGUGCUUUGAUGUUUUUUUUUUGGAGUAUUUUCUGCUAGUUUUGGUGCUGUUUUUCUGCUGAUUUACCAGCAUUUUUGCUGGCUUAUUAUCAGUUUGAAGUGUUAAUAUGCUCAAGGUGGAAAAAUGAAGAAAAAAUAAGCCAAAAAAUAAAUACUCGGGGGCAACUCAUAGUACUUUUUUAUUGCACUUAACAAACUUAGAUACGUUUAAUACAAGAAAUUCAAAGCGAGAUUAAUACAACAUAAACGACUACUUCACUAUGACUUCACUUUCUCAUCUUCUCUCUUUCCAAUUGCAAGAAUUCUUGUUGCUCUUGUGUAACCAU
Molecule: RNA transcript, 2672 nt
Organism: Solanum tuberosum (potato)
Lineage: Eukaryota; Viridiplantae; Streptophyta; Magnoliopsida; Solanales; Solanaceae
Gene name: HBS1-like protein
Exons: 12
Source: RefSeq, a predicted model, not a curated record